CUAAGAUAUCUGAUUUCAAUGUUUUACUGAAUUACAAGUGUUUUCACAGUGAAAUUUGCUUGGAUUAUUUCAGCACAUCAAGGGGAAAGACCUACAGGAACAGAAAGUGAAUGAAGGCCCUAAUCUUGGAAGCCCACCUAAUUUUUCUACUUCCUCCAAUGAAGUAAAAAGUACACAUACUCAAAAGAACA
Molecule: long non-coding RNA, 191 nt
Filed under: Phascolarctos cinereus (koala)
Lineage: Eukaryota; Metazoa; Chordata; Mammalia; Diprotodontia; Phascolarctidae
Description: lncRNA (ENSPCIG00000008180.2)
Source: RNAcentral